GUCAGUGCGGGUCUUACCAUGCAGUCGAACGCUGAAACCAGAUGUUGGUUUUGGUAUAAGAGUGGAAAAGGUGAGAAUCACAUGUGUGAUCUCUCCUAUACUUUUUGAUAUACCUGUGGAAAUGUGGCUCUUAUACCAAAUACUCACCCCCCCAUGGGUGUGGUGUAAAAAUUUUUGCGCGGUGUGAUAAGACUGCGCCCUAUAUCCUUGUGGUGGGGGUAAUGUGCUCUACCGGCGUCUACACGGAUACCCCCUGAGAGAGUGUGCAGCCACAUUGUGACUGAGACACACCCCCCACACCCCUACGAGAGGCCACUGGGGAAAAUUGUGCACUGUGCGCACGCCUGAGAUGCCGACACCCCGCGUGGGAUAAGAGCCUUUUCGUUGUGUACUCUUUUUUCUCUAGACAAAAACUUUUGUUGACGGUGCCUGGAGAAGAAAAACCGCCUAACUACUUGCCACCAGCCGCGGUAAUACUUAGGGUGCGAGCGUUGUCCGCAAUUAUUGGGGGUAAAAAGCUCGUAGGAGGUUUGUCGCGUCGUCUGUGAAAUCCCCCGGCUUAUCUUCUGGCGUGCAGGCGAUAAUGGGAUAAUUUGUGUGCUGUAGGGGAGACUGGAGUUCUUGGUGUAGCGGUGAAAUGCGCAGAUAUCAGGAGGAACACCAAUGGCGAAGGCAGGUCUCUGGGCAGUAACUGACGCUGAGGAGCGAAAGCAUGGGUAGCGAACAGGAUUAGAUACCCUGGUAGUCCAUGCCGUAAACGGUGGGCGCUAGGUGUAGGGGUCUUCCACGACUUCUGUGCCGCAGCUAACGCAUUAAGCGCCCCGCCUGGGGAGUACGGCCGCAAGGCUAAAACUCAAAGGAAUUGACGGGGGCCCGCACAAGCGGCGGAGCAUGUGGAUUAAUUCGAUGCAACGCGAAGAACCUUACCUGGGCUUGACAUGGACCGGAUCGGCGUAGAGAUACGUUUUCCCUUGUGGUCGGUUCACAGGUGGUGCAUGGUUGUCGUCAGCUCGUGUCGUGAGAUGUUGGGUUAAGUCCCGCAACGAGCGCAACCCUUGUCUUAUGUUGCCAGCACAUUGUGGUGGGUACUCAUGAGAGACUGCCGGGGUUAACUCGGAGGAAGGUGGGGAUGACGUCAAAUCAUCAUGCCCCUUAUGUCCAGGGCUUCACACAUGCUACAAUGGUCGGUACAGCGAGUUGCCACACCGUGAGGUGGAGCUAAUCUCUUAAAGCCGGCCUCAGUUCGGAUUGGGGUCUGCAACUCGACCCCAUGAAGUCGGAGUCGCUAGUAAUCGCAGAUCAGCAACGCUGCGGUGAAUACGUUCCCGGGCCUUGUACACACCGCCCGUCACGUCAUGAAAGUUGGUAACACCCGAAGCCAGUGGCCCAACCUUUUAGGGGGGAGCUUCGAAGUGAUCUCCUAA
This 1424-nucleotide ribosomal RNA is filed under the name Corynebacterium glutamicum. Its description in RNAcentral is "partial 16S ribosomal RNA". It matches the Rfam family "Bacterial small subunit ribosomal RNA". Lineage: Bacteria; Bacillati; Actinomycetota; Actinomycetes; Mycobacteriales; Corynebacteriaceae. The record is from RNAcentral.